This is a long non-coding RNA of Folsomia candida, 1593 nucleotides long. RefSeq lists it as uncharacterized. The record is from RefSeq and is a predicted model, not a curated record. The transcript is spliced from 3 exons. Lineage: Eukaryota; Metazoa; Arthropoda; Collembola; Entomobryomorpha; Isotomidae.
UCAAGUUGUAAAAAUAAUAAUUGAUCUUCGCUCUUUAUCAGUUACGUCGUGUGCUCAAGAGUAUGGAACAAGGUGAUAAAAGAAAGUCGGAAGAAGGAGGCGGUGGUGAUUUGAAGAAAAUUGAGCAAAGUAGUAAUGUUCCUCCACAUCGACAAGAAAUUAAGGUCAGAGGACCACCCCCAGGAUUUUGUAAAAUAAGAAUGAUGCAAACGAGUGGAAAACUUGGUGUCGGGUUCGGAUCGGAAGUUAAGUCAGCCUUCUAUCUGUUGGCCAGACUUUUACCGUGAUGGAAUCCAAAGAUCUAAUUUAUAGCCAACCGGAAGCACUUUCUCAAUGCACCCCACCGAUUGUUCCUCCACCAGAGUUGCAGCCCCUUGCACCGGAAGAGAAAGCAUCUGCCAUUGCCUUAAUCAAAGCUGCGGGCGAAGAAGGGCUUGAUGUCGGAGGAGAAACUGGGUUGAAAUUUGUGUGGAAACAAAAGUGUAGCAUAGGAUUUGGACAACGGAGGGAAAGAAAGUCAGACCAAUUGUGUCUCAGGAACAAGUCGAUGGACUGUCGGCCGAUCUGCACUUAUGAAGACUGUUUCUCUGCAUUUUCUGGAACAAGGGCAGACGAAGUAGAGCCAAAAUGCCUGACACACAAGGGACCGAGCACCGGCUAUGCAGUCUACGAGUUCAAAAAUAAGAAGGCAGGAGUCACUGAAAUUGGGCAUAUGCUCAUGAGCUAUAAUUAAGAAACAAACAAAAAUAAAGACCAUCUACAAGAAGCCUUCAGCAGCAGAGUCAAACCGAAGGGAAUUGUAGGAAAACCUGAACUUUUUGAUAGUUGUAAUGAUGCCGAGAAAAGGUUCGCGGUUUUGCAGACGGUUACACUUUUGAAAUGCUUAAUCAAUCCCACUAAAUUUAAGUACAUCACCCUAUCCGUGUCACUCGCAAAUGGUCUGGAGGCAGAAGUAAAGGAAGAAAUGGACAAACAGGGAUUCCAACUUGAAAUUAAGGAGAUUCACAAUUCCAAAUCUGAGAAUGCAUCAAUCCCAUUUCCAUUUGGAAGACGAGUUGAACAGGGAGAGAAAUUGGUGGACUUGGUGAAGGAUAAUAAUGGUGCUCUGUACAUAAUUUGUGAUGCCAAAAUAAUCUAUGGUGGUCAGACCAUCAAUGGGAAAGAUACUCACGAUAUCUUUAAAAAUCCUACUGGUACCGUGGCGCAGUAUGAAAAAGAGUUUGGAACGGGCACUCUGGUGAAGAUCCCUCUUUGUGAAAUUACACUACCCAAGAAAGAAAAAAAAAACAAAGGAAGAUAAGGCAUCCACGUCCACGGAAGAGAAAGAUCCACUCAGAAAGAUGGAGGCGCAUCUUCAUAUUUGCCUCUACAUUGCGUACCUCUUCCGCCUACGAAACCCUUUCCAUAACACUUUCUUAAAAACCCAUCCCUACUGUCUGAAUAAGGAAGUAAUUUCUUCGUAUUUCGAUGAACACUCCUGGGAGAAAAUUGUUUUGUUUUUAAAGAGAGAAUAUGGUUGCCAGUUUUAAAGGAAUUGUAAUACGAGGGUAACCACCUGUUGAUGAAUAAAUUAUAUAUAAAUAUAUAUAAAUA